RNAcentral lists this ribosomal RNA (498 nucleotides) under uncultured bacterium. RNAcentral's name for it is "partial 16S ribosomal RNA". It matches the Rfam family "Bacterial small subunit ribosomal RNA", at positions 28 to 507 of the family's 1533-position model. The record is from RNAcentral.
GACGAACGCUGGCGGCGUGCCUAAUACAUGCAAGUCGAACGAGAGCUUCAGGUGCUUUCUCUGCUGAGUGUAUCGGCGGACGGGUGAGUAACACGUGGUUAACCUACCUAUCAGACUGGGAUAACAUCCGGAAACCGUAUCUAAUACCGCAUGAUUUUUUGAACCUCAUGGUUCAAGCGUGUAAGUAGGUAGUUGUUUCUGUUAAAGAUUGACCCGCCGGUGAAUUAUUUAGUUGGUGAGGUAACGGCUAACCAAGGCAGUGAUGCAUAGCCGCCCUGAAAGGGUGAUCGGCCACAUUGGAACUGAGACACGGCCCAAACUCCUACGGGAGGCAGCAGUAGGGAAUCUUCCGCAAUGGACGCAAGUCUGACGGAGCAACGCCGCGUGAGUGAAGAAGGUUUUCGGAUCGUAAAACUCUGUUGUUAGAGAAGAACAAAUGCUAGAGUAACUGUUAGCACCUUGACGGUACCUAACCAGAAAGCCACGGCUAACUACGUG